UACGGGGGGGGUAAGCGUUGUCCGGAAUUAUUGGGCGUAAAGAGCUCGUAGGCGGUUUGUCGCGUCGAAUGUGAAAACCCGGGGCUCAACCCCGGGCCUGCAUUCGAUACGGGCAGACUAGAGUUCGGUAGGGGAGUCUGGAAUUCCUGGUGUAGCGGUGAAAUGCGCAGAUAUCAGGAGGAACACCGGUGGCGAAGGCGGGACUCUGGGCCGAUACUGACGCUGAGGAGCGAAAGCGUGGGGAGCAAACAGG
Molecule: ribosomal RNA, 253 nt
Filed under: uncultured bacterium
Lineage: Bacteria
Description: partial 16S ribosomal RNA
Rfam family: Bacterial small subunit ribosomal RNA
Source: RNAcentral